Molecule: long non-coding RNA, 6221 nt
Filed under: Vitis vinifera (wine grape)
Lineage: Eukaryota; Viridiplantae; Streptophyta; Magnoliopsida; Vitales; Vitaceae
Description: long non-coding RNA (VVIN_LNC000172)
Source: RNAcentral
AAUCAUAAUUCAUAACCACCACCAUCAUCUCACUUCGGGGUUGCUUUUUAGACACUCCAGGUGAAACGGAAUACCCAUACCAUUGAAUUAUUACCAUCGUCCCUGCUAUGUUUCCAUAUAAGACAGACUGGCGUGAUGGACCCUUUGGGCUGUGCAGUGUGCACAGGUUCUUCCUUCUUUGAGUUGAAGGGGCCAUGAGUUGGGGUUAGAGGACGCAGCAUGGGGGCUCUACUAGGAAGAAUCCUCAUCCCAGACUAGUUUAUUAUUAGGGUCAAACCUUCUCCAGGGGAUCAAAAAUAGUCAAAGGGGGGUUCUCUGAGAAAGUUGUGGCCUACGAUGAGUGCACUUUAAUUUGUAUGGGUUCCCUCUCUCUUUUCGCCAUUAGCUUUUGCUUUUGCCAUAAUCACACUUGUCUUCCACCACCAGCAUGGGUCUGACCAACCCCAUAUAACAAACUUCUCAGAAACCUUCUUCCCCACAACACAGUCCCCAGAUAAAAUUCUGGGUGAUGCAGAGAUUGAGACAGAGAGGGGUAAACAAGUGCCCCAUGCAACAUCCACCACGAGUGCAUGAAAGUUUUUCAUCCUCUGUAAGUAAAUAUAUUUUUCAUCUCUCUUUUCCUCUUUACCUUCUUCUUUUCAUCGACAGAGAAAAAUCUCUGAACAGCAAUGUGGCUCUUGGAAAGUUUGAGAGGAAGAGGAAGAAAUUGCUGUAAAAUGGUUGCAGAUGGCUUCCUCUCUUCAGCAUUUUCUUCUUCUCUCUCUCUUUCUUUCCCAGAAAGCAGACAGUGGGUAAUUGUAGUUUUCUACCUUGCUUAGCUUGUUCUGGCCUCUCUGUAAAAUUCUGAUUCAGAUUUCUGUCAUUUUAUUUACAAUUCUGUAUUUAAGCUUGUUGAUGCAUCAAACUAAGAAGUAAAGAUAAAAAAGAGAGGAGACAUGUGCACACCAAAACCACAACCCAUUUUCCACUCAAAUCAUAGCAAGUUACAUUACAAUCAGUAAAAGAGAAGCCAUAAAACUUAUUCUAUACCUUCUGCACACAGAAAAAACAACAAAUAGGAAUCCAUGUAAACUGGUUGAUCCUCCUUUACUUUUUUUUCUUUCCUCUCGUUCUUUUUUUUUCUUAAUAAUAUAGGCGAGGUGCCGUUGUAUAAUUACACUCUGAAAGACUAGGGUAUUAUACUGCAAGUUCUGUACAGCUGACAAAUCAAGAAGCCGGAUGAAAAAGGGAAAAGAAUACUGGAAACUGAAUCCCAUCAGAAGAUAAACAAAAGAAUGACACACACAUUAACGAGCACACCGGUAUUAAUGUGAGUAUUAGGGGUAGUAAUUCUUCUAAUAAAGAAGAAGAAGAACACGGAACACAAUGUUAGAUCUGCUGAAGUAUGCUCCACAGCAUGCUAGAUCCCAGGUAUUGGAAUGCAGAUCUCAGUAUGCCUCUGUUAAAAGUCAGGUCGGCAUGGCUGUGUGAUCCUAGGAAACUGAACACAGAGGAGAUGGGAACUCAACAUAUGCUAAGUUGGAUCAGAGAAAGAAGUUAUACUGGUUGUAGACACUCAAAAAUUCUGUCUGUGAGAUGAUGGAUCAGAGAGAUUGGUUAUAGACUUUGGAGGAGGGCCCUUUUGCAAGGUGGUGGUUGUGAAGGGUUACUGCUUGGAUUAGGGGUAGGGGACUCCAUUCCAAGUGCUCUCAGUAGGAAGUUCCUCUCCUGAACAAUUCAUCAAGAGUACAUAGUUAGUACUGUAUCAAAAUUUCAAAUUAAUAUAUUUGCUAAAGCAAGAGAAAUAAUUAAAUUAAUAUAUUUUUCCAUGUUACAAAAUGUGUUCCCCUACUUAUUAUUAGACUUCAUUUCGAUCUUGAAUACUUAGAGGGAAAGUGCGAAGGACAAUUAUUUUAUUUUUUUAGAAGGAAUAAACAUAAUAAAUUUUUCUCUUGUGCUUACCCAAAUUUCUCCUUUAUAAAGAAUGAAAAAUUUGAAAAUGCAUAAUUCUAAAUUAUUUUUGUUAUAUUUGAUUUUUCUUUGUGUUUUCCACAAUACAACCACCAAACAAGAAAAUUUUUAUUCCUUUCUACUUCUUUUCCUUUUCCCAGGCACUUUUUGUUCUCCAAACAAAGCCUUAAAAUAUUUUGGCCUACCUUUGAAUACACUCGUUACUGACUUAAUGAUGGGAAUAACAUGUAAUAAGUAAGAAUUGCCAUGAGGGAGGAGGAACAGAGCUUUACUGGCUAUUGAUCAGUCAUCUAAGUUUACAUCCUUGACCUACCUUUAGAUAAGAUGAUUACCUAGGUCUAAUUGAUGUUCUUUUACCUAGGUCUAACAAUUGUUCUUUCUUCCUGCAUUAUUGACUGGGCAGGAAUUUAUAGUAAGAUAACCUUGGUUGCAUAUGAAACCUGUUCUCCAAGGUGCUCUUGCAUUUCCCUGUUCACUAAGUUUAAACCUUGUCUAAAUAUUAAUAUGAUAUGCAUGCUUUGCUAUUUACUACUUCAAAGACAAAGGUAUGCUAAGUAUACUACAACUUAAAGACAAUAUUAUGCCAUGCAUUUUCAAUUUUAUUUCAAAAUAAUGUUAUGCUAUGUAUAAAAUAGUGUUUGUUUUAUUUACAGAUAAAUGAAAAUAAUGUUUAAUAAGUGAUCAACCAAGUUAAGUACCAACUACACGAGGGAACCAGAACCAUAAAGAAUAUAAAGAAAAGGAAACAUACUGUACCAAAAAAAAAAAAAGGAAAAGAAAAUGAAAAGGAAAAUAGAAGAGAAGAAGAAGAGCAAAAACAAAGCUCACAUGGGUUUUUUUUGUUAAAAAUAGGACUUCUUAGACUAGGCCUUGCUUUGUAAUUCUUAUUUAGUCAUUGUUCUCUAACAUACUUUUUUCUUAUAUUUUAGUGGGAAAAAUAGUUCAAGAUGUGAUACUAGCAUGUCACAAUUUAAACUUAAUUAAAUGUCUAACAUGUUCUAACACAACAAAAUUAAUGAACAGAAGUCCUAUUUUUAUUUUAUUUUCCCUUGAUUUUACAUGCACAUAAACAAUGUUUAGCUGAUGUCAGAAAAUUUUAAAAAAUAAAUAUCACAACCCAAAAAAGAAGCUGACAUUAUAGGGAUAUGGACAUAUAUCAGUUAUGACACACACUUAAGGAUAUCCUUUGAAGAAAUGAAGUCAUUUAAAUAAUUGGAGAUGUAAUGCAAGCACUUCACUCUUUUUUUCCCUUUCCCAACAAGCAUCUAUUUCAUACUUCAAUCCAUAGAACACUAAUGGCAGUUCAAUUGGGGCUGGGAAGCUGAUGAGAUGCUCUGUGCUUUGCACCAAGCCACAAACUUAGAGUCUAGACUCUUCCUCUUCUGUCUAUAAAUAACGAGAAUGAGCAAGCGCAGUCAUAACUCAAGAGACAGAGUGACUAAAUACCAUAACCUGAGAGACGAUGACUCACCCACUUGUCAUGUUGUUAUUGAUAACUAAGCACAAUAUAUUUGUACUUAUUACUGCAACUCCCAUCGUAUUCCUUCUGAAUAUGCCCAUGAGAUUUGCAGCUAUCUUAACACCUCAAAAAGCAGAGAAUAUGUCUAAUUUUCCAGAGUACUGUCCGUUGAAGAAGGCUACUUCUGAUUUGAACUCAAACCCUUAAAUGUCCUGAUUUCCUUGGCCCCAACUCAUAUUUGGCCUCAUGAAGGGAGACCAGUGUGAUCAUUGGCAUUGUCAACAGCUAGGUAUAGCCACAGAGCCAAAGAUUCAGGGACAAAGAUGUAUUUCCUAUUGGAAUCAGGAAAUGGAAAGGAACUUUCCAGCAAAGAAGACUUCAGUUCCAGCCACAGCCUAAAACCAUUGGGCUGGAAACCCAUGGUAACAUGGAUUGCACCAUUGGAUUUUCAUUUCACAACUAAGAAGGUGAAAUAUAAGGUUAAUGUUGCUAGUUGAGUACAAGUGCACAUGUGAUGGGAAACAACAACACAAGAACAGCAGCAACAUGACAAGAGGGGGGGUGUUGUCUCUAUGGUUUUCCUUUUUCUGGUUCUCUCUUGCCCUAGUCAUGACUGUGCUUGCUUACUGUGAGCCUGAGUUCUUGGUUUGCUUCAACAAAUAGCAUGCCAUAUUAGCUUUGAACCACCAAACUGCUGUUAGUUUCCUAGAUCAAAAUAUGAAACUGACACAAUUCAAAAAUAAGAUCUACAGAUAUUUAUUUGUUGGCUUAAAUUGUGAAGUGCUAGCAUUACAUCUCCAAUUCUUUAAGAACUUCAUAUUUGAACUAUCAACUUAUGCUGCAUGGGCACAGACAGUGGUUGACAUGUUACAGAAAAUGAGAUGGAAAGUUCUUAAAAAUAGGACACAGACACAUGAGUUAGAUAAAUAUAUAAUGAAGUAUAUUAUGUACUUAAUUACUUUCAUAACAUAAAAUAUAAUAUAUUAACCCUCCCCACCCUUUCUUCUCCAUACCACUACUACUCAUUCUCCUCAACUUAUGAGAAAUCUCAUUUUAUUACACUUUCUUAAAAUUAAAAAUGUCCUAAGUUUUCUCCCCACCCUUAAUUUAUUUUUCUUUACAGUGUACUAGAACAACAGAGUCAUUUCCUGUUCUGCUUAUUUCAUAUUCUUAUCCAUAUCCACCUUAUAUAAUUCAUGAACAUUUUAAGCUUUGCAGAAAUAUAAGAGAAAAUUUCUCAUGCUUUAAUGUAAUGAAGCAUUUUAAACUUGAGAAUUCUGCUAAUCAAUUAAUUCCUACAACUUAUACUAUUGCUGCAACUAUACUCCAAUCUUUUGCUACUAGUAUUUCAUUUUCAUAAUCAUCAAAGUAUCUAAUGGGCGAAUAGUCAGAAAAUGUGGAACCUACUUCAAUUACUGCUAGUUUACUGUUGCUUUUUCUAUGGCCUUGAUAGUUGAUUCCGACAACCCUCUCCCUCCCCCCCAAACAAAGUAAAAACCAAAUAAAAUAUAAGCUGUCCCCAAUCUAUUAUAGUUCAAGUCUAUCCUAGGUUCUUGCCAAUCUAUCAUAAUCCAAGCCUGUCUUUAUAAUGCUCAAUUUGGAAUUUACUAGACACAGUUAACCACUAGGAAGACUUAAGUGACAGGUAAUUAUCAUUCUUUCUCAUUGAAUCUAAUCAUUGCUGGGUUAAAAAAUGAAGGACAUUAAAACAAUCUAGCUGGUUAAAUCUAUGUUGCUGACAUUUUGUUAAUCAUAAGGACAAAGCUUUACACUUGAUAUCGACAACUACAUUUCAAAUAAAGCAGUUUUUCUAGGUAUCACAACCAUUGGUUCUUUCUUUAUAAAAAAUACUAUCUAGUUGCCUUACUGUAUUUUUUAGUGUGCUUUCAAAUUGACUUAGUGAGUCUUGUCAUUUUUAAAGAGUUUUUAACUACAAAAAAAAAACAAAGGGAAAGGAAGAAAAAGGGGGGAAAAGGAAAGAAAGAAAGAAAAUGAUACUGUUACUAGGUUUUUAAGUUGUUAGUUAGUUGGUUCUUCCUCUUUCUUGAUUUUGUAAAGGGGUUGUAUAUUUCCCAAAUUUGACUUACCUCAAUAUUUAUUAUUUCAAUAGAAAUCACAGAAUUUUUUACCAUUUACUAAUACAGUGGCCUGAUAAUCAGUGGACUCAAAAUCAUUAGAAAACUUACACUCUCUGAAAAUUUUGGGCUAGGAAUUCCUGCUGCCAAGGAUCUGAACAGUGGGGUCACUUGAAGAGGGGAACUGAACUCUGUGCUUGACAAGUUAGAAGCAACUACAUCAUUGGUUUUUGGUUCAUCACAAGAAGGAAAAAUCUCUGCUGCAAGAAUUUAAUUAACAAAAUCAAAUACAUUAGGAUUCUAUCAAAUACAAAAUAAGAAAAAAGUCUUAUAGUUAGUUUUAUUUAACAUGAAGAUCGAUUACCUGGUUUGUGAAAGAAAAAAAAAAAGUACAUCUAAUAGAUACUUUUAUUUAACAUGAAAAUUGAUUACCUUGAUUUGUGGUUGUACCCGAAAGAACCCCCUUAACACAUUCUUCAAAGCCAUUUUGAUCCAUAGGAAUUGUUUGUAACCUAACUCCAAUUUCCUGAUGUAGUGCACAUAUCUCAGGUUGAGUUUGUUCUAUUUUAUCGCCUGCUGUUUGGGACACAAGAGUUGAUCCUGUACUGUAUUCAGAGCUGCCUGGAGACUCCUCAUAUAAAUCAGGUUGCCUAUGAUGGCACCAACAAUUAGAUGCUGCAUGAAUGUGACCUGCUUAAAUAUGAAUACUAGCCCACACUGCUUUUAUUACCUCCAAG